This is a long non-coding RNA of Dermacentor albipictus, 759 nucleotides long. RefSeq lists it as uncharacterized. NCBI's taxonomy places the organism in Eukaryota, Metazoa, Arthropoda, Arachnida, Ixodida, Ixodidae. The record is from RefSeq and is a predicted model, not a curated record.
GUGCACGGCAGGUACGGAUUCCUUGGUUCGUACAUUGGUUGGUUAAUUUGUGCUAACACCAGUUUAUUGCGCUUCGAUAUCUCGCGUUAUUUAACUUGGGGUGUAAGCCUGAAAGCUAGGUUUCAGUCGUGAGCCAUGUGGAACACGUCUGCAUCGAAAUGGGAGCCGGGUCCUGCUGCGACUGGGGACAGCAAUACCGACAUGCAGUAAUGAGGAUGGCACCAGUAUAAAGCAACACACUCCAUGCACUAAACAGAAGCUGCUGCCUGCUACAACAAGGUCAUUGUGUGGACUUUGGCUGCUACUACAAGAGUCUGUGCCAAGUACAUCUUGGUCAUCACGGGAGCCCCCAUCUACGCCAACAGGAAGGGGCUGGAGCUGAAUUCACAAGACCACGAACAAAGAAGCCAUUCCAGAAUUAUUUGGAUGAGAUACCAAGUCUACGGACGACUGUUUCAAGAGUGAAAAGAGCCUACGCCAUCAUUCCACCAGCACGGAUAUUGGCCGAGUCAUCCAGGUACCUCAACAACAAAAAUUAUUUGUCUUCAGAUGUACCUGCAACCUCUGAACAAGCACAGACGACGCUGGCUAAGAGUGUUCUGUCAGCUUGCCCUUCCUUAGGGAGCUCCCUGGCCUUGCCAAUUCUUGCCAAGUAUAAUUUUGUUUCAAUGAAUGCACGCUUCUUCAUUCCACACUUUUGUUAGAGAUCAUUCCUAUUCCUCAUACAAACAUUAAAGGUCAACCGAUUCUUUGCUCAUA